GCCCUAGCUCUUACAGCAACUCGAAAAUUCUUGAAGAAUUAGGGCUUCUCCCGCAUCUACUUUUGGUUUCGGGUAAUUGUUGAGGAACUAAACUGUGUUGCACAGAGUGGGCAAUACAAAACUUGCAAGAAAUUGGAGCAAUCAGAAAUAAAAGAAAAACGACAUCCUCUAUUAAGAAAAAUGGGAAGGCAAAAAGAUAAGUUUUGGCAACAUGCUGAGCCACUUGAUAGUUCACAUUUCAAAUGCAAAUUUUGUGAAAAACAAGUUUAUGGAGGAGUCACUCGCCUCAAGUAUCAUUUAGCUAAGGUUAGUGGUCAUGAUGUUGCCCCUUGUGAGAAAGUAUCUGAUGAUA
Macadamia integrifolia is the source of this 352-nucleotide long non-coding RNA. RefSeq lists it as uncharacterized. The transcript has 3 exons. The record is from RefSeq and is a predicted model, not a curated record. Lineage: Eukaryota; Viridiplantae; Streptophyta; Magnoliopsida; Proteales; Proteaceae.